AAAGAAACUAACCAGGAUUCCGCUAGUAACGGCGAGUGAAACCGGAAUAGCCCAACUUGAAAAUCUUCCUUUGAAGAAUUGUAGUCUAUAGAAGUUCCCUCUACGGCAGCCGGGACCUAAGUCUGCUGGAAGGCAGCGUCCGAGAGGGUAAUAACCCCGUCGGUCCUAGGUGUUUGUCCGUUCCACGAGGUGCUUUCGAAGAGUCGCAUUGUUUGGGAAUGCAGUGCAAAAUGGGAGGUAAAUCCCUUCUAAGGCUAAAUACUGACGAGAGACCGAUAGCGAACAAGUACCGUGAGG
This 297-nucleotide ribosomal RNA is filed under the name Chlamydomonas sp. ICE-W. RNAcentral describes it as "partial 26S ribosomal RNA". It matches the Rfam family "Eukaryotic large subunit ribosomal RNA", at positions 58 to 358 of the family's 3401-position model. The record is from RNAcentral. Lineage: Eukaryota; Viridiplantae; Chlorophyta; Chlorophyceae; Chlamydomonadales; Chlamydomonadaceae.